AACCCUGGUUCUGAGCAUCUGACACAUCUGACUGGGUUCAUGUGUGUCGCUUCCGCAUAUUCCACGUGUGCUCGUGAGUGAUGCGGAAAAGGUAAUAUAUCCCAUAUAGUAUAGAUAGAUAUAUUUCUACCUAUUUUUUAGGUAGAAAUAUAUCUAUCUAUACUAUAUGGGAUAUAUUACCUUUUCCGCAUCACUCACGAGCACACGUGGAAUAUGCGGAAGCGACACACAUGAACCCAGUCAGAUGUGUCAGAUGCUCAGAACCAGGGUU
This 271-nucleotide microRNA precursor is filed under the name Helianthus annuus (common sunflower). RNAcentral's name for it is "microRNA MIR821". The record is from RNAcentral. Lineage: Eukaryota; Viridiplantae; Streptophyta; Magnoliopsida; Asterales; Asteraceae.